Molecule: transfer RNA, 78 nt
Filed under: Sceptuchus simplex
Lineage: Eukaryota; Metazoa; Arthropoda; Insecta; Mantodea; Nanomantidae
Description: tRNA-Arg
Source: RNAcentral
AAGUAAGAAGCAAAUUAAUUGUAAUCAGUUUCGACCUGAUAGGAAGAUAUAGUAUAUCCUUAUUUUAUUAGUGAUUUU